Molecule: long non-coding RNA, 295 nt
Organism: Papilio machaon (common yellow swallowtail)
Lineage: Eukaryota; Metazoa; Arthropoda; Insecta; Lepidoptera; Papilionidae
Exons: 3
Source: RefSeq, a predicted model, not a curated record
UGUCGUGUCAUAUUUUAACUUUUAUGCCGUUUCUAUGCUCAGAUAUGCUUUUCGCACUAAAAAUGAAAAACCGUUAAAGGUCAUGAAGUUGAGAAAAGAGAUUUCGUUCGCUAAUAUAACUUUUCAUGAACAUGGUAGAAGUCAUCUGAACGUAACUGGGUACAGUAACGUGAAGACACGCGAAUUAACGAACGAAACAAAUCAAUAUGCAUCAAAAUGUCCGCUAUGCAAAUUGAUAUUGCCACAGAUCCGGAACCUUGUGAGAGAUAUAAAUAUAAUAAACAUAAAAGAUAUU